RNAcentral lists this ribosomal RNA (250 nucleotides) under uncultured bacterium. RNAcentral's name for it is "partial 16S ribosomal RNA". It matches the Rfam family "Bacterial small subunit ribosomal RNA", at positions 525 to 773 of the family's 1533-position model. The record is from RNAcentral.
ACGUAGGUACCGAGCGUUAUCCGGAUUUACUGGGCGUAAAGCGUGUUCAGGCGGCCUGGCAAGUCGGGCAUGAAAUCUCUCGGCUCAACCGAGAGAGGCUGUCCGAUACUGCUGGGCUUGAGGACGGUAGAGGGUGGUGGAAUUCCGCGUGUAGUGGUGAAAUGCGUAGAUAUGCGGAGGAACACCAGUGGCGAAGGCGGCCACCUGGACCGUCCCUGACGCUCAAACACGGAAAGCUAGGGUAGCGAAC